Molecule: ribosomal RNA, 398 nt
Filed under: uncultured bacterium
Lineage: Bacteria
Description: bacterial SSU rRNA
Rfam family: Bacterial small subunit ribosomal RNA
Source: RNAcentral
GGAAUCUUGCGCAAUGGGGGAAACCCUGACGCAGCCAUGCCGCGUGAAUGAUGAAGGUCUUAGGAUUGUAAAAUUCUUUCACCGGGGAAGAUAAUGACGGUACCCGGAGAAGAAGCUCCGGCUAACUUCGUGCCAGCAGCCGCGGUAAUACGAAGGGGGCUAGCGUUGCUCGGAAUUACUGGGCGUAAAGGGAGCGUAGGCGGACAGUUAAGUCAGAGGUGAAAGCCCAGGGCUCAACCCUGGAAUUGCCUUUGAAACUGGCUGUCUUGAGUUUGGGAGAGGUGUGUGGAACUCCGAGUGUAGAGGUGAAAUUCGUAGAUAUUCGGAAGAACACCAGUGGCGAAGGCGACACACUGGCCCAAUACUGACGCUGAGGCUCGAAAGCGUGGGGAGCAAAC